GACGAACGCUGGCGGCGUGCUUAACACAUGCAAGUCGAACGAAGUGGCGAACGGGUGGGCAACGCGGAAUCAACCUGCCCUUCAACGGGGGACAACAGUUGGAAACGACUGCUAAUACCGCAUACUGAAGGAGGGGAUUGCGUCUUAUUAGAUAGUUGGGGGGGUAACGGCCCACCACGGCGAUGAUCAGUAGCGGCCCUGCGAGGAUGAGCGGCCAAACGGGGACGGGGACACGGCCCAGACUCCUACGGGAGGCAGCCGUGGGGAAUCUUCCGCAAUGGACGAAAGUGUGACGGAGCAACGCCGCGUGAGUGAUUACGGCCUUCGGGUUGUAAAGCCCUGUUAAUCUGUACGCGGUACCGGAAUAGAAAGCCACGGCUAACUACGUGCCAGCAGCCGCGGUAAUAC
This 408-nucleotide ribosomal RNA is filed under the name uncultured bacterium. RNAcentral describes it as "partial 16S ribosomal RNA". It matches the Rfam family "Bacterial small subunit ribosomal RNA", at positions 28 to 526 of the family's 1533-position model. The record is from RNAcentral.